Molecule: ribosomal RNA, 245 nt
Filed under: uncultured Adhaeribacter sp.
Lineage: Bacteria; Pseudomonadati; Bacteroidota; Cytophagia; Cytophagales; Hymenobacteraceae
Description: partial 16S ribosomal RNA
Rfam family: Bacterial small subunit ribosomal RNA
Source: RNAcentral
UACGGAGGGUGCAAGCGUUGUCCGGAUUUAUUGGGUUUAAAGGGUGCGUAGGCGGUCUUUUAAGUCAGUGGUGAAAUCCUCCAGCUUAACUGGAGAACUGCCAUUGAUACUGGGAGACUUGAGUACAGACGAGGUAGGCGGAAUUGACAGUGUAGCGGUGAAAUGCAUAGAUAUUGUCAAGAACACCGAUUGCGAAGGCAGCUUACUAGACUGUAACUGACGCUGAGGCACGAAAGUGUGGGGAU